GGAGGAGUCAGGGGAGUAAAAACGAGGCUGGCAUUCUGGACUUGCAUAGUCGAGAGAGCUACUGGUGUGAGGAAGCUGAUGGAAACCCAGCGCUGGCUUUCCAGGAAGAACCUCAUCCUACAACUCCCUCUCCUCCUUUUGAAUGGUUUCUCAAUUACUUCGGCAGGAAAUGAGUACGCACUUGGAAUGAGGACAAGGAGAAACUUUUAGCCUGAGAAGACAGAAUACAGAGGUCAAGAGAAUUUGUGUUGAUAACCACAAUUGUUCUGAUACAACUUUCCUGG
This 284-nucleotide long non-coding RNA is filed under the name Pan troglodytes (chimpanzee). RNAcentral's name for it is "long non-coding RNA NONPTRT011151". The record is from RNAcentral. Lineage: Eukaryota; Metazoa; Chordata; Mammalia; Primates; Hominidae.